CCUAUGGGCGGCAGCAGUGAGGAAUAUUGGUCAAUGGGCGUAAGCCUGAACCAGCCAAGUCGCGUGAGGGAUGAAGGCUCUAUGGAUCGUAAACCUCUUUUAUAAGGGAAUAAAGCGCGGGACGUGUCCUAUUUUGUAUGUACCUUAUGAAUAAGGAUCGGCUAACUCCGUGCCAGCAGCCGCGGUAAUACGGAGGAUCCGAGCGUUAUCCGGAUUUAUUGGGUUUAAAGGGUGCGUAGGCGGCUUUUUAAGUCAGCGGGGAAAGUUUGGGGCACAACCCUCGAAUUGCCGUUGAAACUGGGGGGCUUGAGUGUGUUUGAGGCAGGCGGAAUGCGUGGUGUAGCGGUGAAAUGCAUAGAUAUCACGCAGAACCCCGAUUGCGAAGGCAGCCUACCAAGCCAUGACUGACGCUGAUGCACGAAAGCGUGGGGAGCAAACAGGAUUAGAUACCCUAGUAGUC
RNAcentral lists this ribosomal RNA (460 nucleotides) under uncultured bacterium. RNAcentral describes it as "partial 16S ribosomal RNA". It matches the Rfam family "Bacterial small subunit ribosomal RNA", at positions 338 to 795 of the family's 1533-position model. The record is from RNAcentral.